UUGCGAACGGGUGAGUAACGCGUAGGUAACCUGCCUUGUAGCGGGGGAUAACUAUUGGAAACGAUAGCUAAUACCGCAUAACAAUAGGUGACACAUGUCAUUUAUUUGAAAGGGGCACUUGCUCCACUACAAGAUGGACCUGCGUUGUAUUAGCUAGUAGGUGAGGUAACGGCUCACCUAGGCGACGAUACAUAGCCGACCUGAGAGGGUGAUCGGCCACACUGGGACUGAGACACGGCCCAGACUCCUACGGGAGGCAGCAGUAGGGAAUCUUCGGCAAUGGGGGCAACCCUGACCGAGCAACGCCGCGUGAGUGAAGAAGGUUUUCGGAUCGUAAAGCUCUGUUGUAAGUCAAGAACGAGUGUGAGAGUGGAAAGUUCACACUGUGACGGUAGCUUACCAGAAAGGGACGGCUAACUACGUGCCAGCAGCCGCGGUAAUACGUAGGUCCCGAGCGUUGUCCGGAUUUAUUGGGCGUAAAGCGAGCGCAGGCGGUUUGAUAAGUCUGAAGUUAAAGGCUGUGGCUCAACCAUAGUUCGCUUUGGAAACUGUCAAACUUGAGUGCAGAAGGGGAGAGUGGAAUUCCAUGUGUAGCGGUGAAAUGCGUAGAUAUAUGGAGGAAC
RNAcentral lists this ribosomal RNA (623 nucleotides) under uncultured Bacilli bacterium. Its description in RNAcentral is "bacterial SSU rRNA". It matches the Rfam family "Bacterial small subunit ribosomal RNA", at positions 96 to 707 of the family's 1533-position model. Lineage: Bacteria; Bacillati; Bacillota; Bacilli. The record is from RNAcentral.